RNAcentral lists this ribosomal RNA (256 nucleotides) under uncultured bacterium. Its description in RNAcentral is "partial 16S ribosomal RNA". It matches the Rfam family "Bacterial small subunit ribosomal RNA", at positions 96 to 353 of the family's 1533-position model. The record is from RNAcentral.
UGGCGGACGGGUGAGUAAUGUCUGGGGAACUGCCUGAUGGAGGGGGAUAACUACUGGAAACGGUAGCUAAUACCGCAUAACGUCGCAAGACCAAAGAGGGGGACCUUCGGGCCUCUUGCCGUCGGAUGUGCCCAGAUGGGAUUAGCUAGUAGGUGGGGUAACGGCUCACCUAGGCGACGAUCCCUAGCUGGUCUGAGAGGAUGACCAGCCACACUGGAACUGAGACACGGUCCAGACUCCUACGGGAGGCAGCAUG